Molecule: unclassified non-coding RNA, 411 nt
Filed under: Drosophila mojavensis
Lineage: Eukaryota; Metazoa; Arthropoda; Insecta; Diptera; Drosophilidae
Description: GI26524
Source: RNAcentral
UUAAACUGGGUCAGGAGCUUCAGUCGGUGCAUUUUAUGCAAUGUAAUUUUUUCGAAAGAAACAACGUGUUAGCUAUAUAACUAACAUAUCAGCACGUGUUUGGCCACUAUGAGUGCAAUGAAUGCUUCUGCUUUACGGAAGUCGAUGAUGCACGUCCAGCUGUCUGUCAUGACUAUGAUAAAAACGUAAUGAAGUUCAUUUAUGGCGACGGCGCCUGUGAGCCUCUGCGACCUGGCGACAUUUGUUUUCCAAAGGUCUACGAGAGUCUGGCGGCCUGUAAAGAGGCCUGUAAGAUCUUUCUGGCAUUUGCAGAGGAAUGGAUUAAAAAUCCAAGCAUCGAUUGAAUCACACUAUGGAGGAAGCUGACAAGUUUUUAUUAAAAAUGAAUAAAAAUAUUAUAUAAAAAUUAAA